GACGAACGCUGGCGGCGUGCCUAAUACAUGCAAGUAGAACGCUGAAGAGAGGAGCUUGCUCUUCUUGGAUGAGUUGCGAACGGGUGAGUAACGCGUAGGUAACCUGCCUUGUAGCGGGGGAUAACUAUUGGAAACGAUAGCUAAUACCGCAUAACAAUGGAUGACCCAUGUCAUUUAUUUGAAAGGGGCAAAUGCUCCACUACAAGAUGGACCUGCGUUGUAUUAGCUAGUAGGUGAGGUAACGGCUCACCUAGGCGACGAUACAUAGCCGACCUGAGAGGGUGAUCGGCCACACUGGGACUGAGACACGGCCCAGACUCCUACGGGAGGCAGCAGUAGGGAAUCUUCGGCAAUGGGGGCAACCCUGACCGAGCAACGCCGCGUGAGUGAAGAAGGGUUUCGGAUCGUAAAGCUCUGUUGUAAGUCAAGAACGAGUGUGAGAGUGGAAAGUUCACACUGUGACGGUAGCUUAACAGAAAGGGACGGCUAACUACGUG
Molecule: ribosomal RNA, 497 nt
Filed under: uncultured bacterium
Lineage: Bacteria
Description: partial 16S ribosomal RNA
Rfam family: Bacterial small subunit ribosomal RNA
Source: RNAcentral